RNAcentral lists this long non-coding RNA (674 nucleotides) under Rattus norvegicus (Norway rat). RNAcentral's name for it is "long non-coding RNA NONRATT019697". Lineage: Eukaryota; Metazoa; Chordata; Mammalia; Rodentia; Muridae. The record is from RNAcentral.
AGGCAGGCCAAGGUGGAGGCCUGAGUGGCCUGAGAAGAGAUGGAGGCAGAAACGGUCCCCGUUUUGUCCCAAGGUGUCCUCGAUGUCCAUACUCACUGCCCUGGCUCUCCAGGCCCUGCUCUAAUUAGGAAGGUGAACCAUGGACAACACAGCUGACUGCCAUGUCUCUGGAUUAUGCUCACUGAACUGAAACUCCCUUGCCCUCAGGUCUGCUGUCCUUUGCAGUUCUGGACCCCUGCAUGGCUGUCUCCUGGACUGGGAGCUGGAGGCUAGGGCCCGACUGUUAGGUUCCCCUGUUAGUAGGCAUCUCACCUGUUUUCUUCACCAUCCUUGAGAUGAUGGUAGAUGAUAUUUAGCACCUGUAGACAGGGCCUCAUUGGGCCCCUUGGGCUUACAGAGCAGAACAGAGACUAGCCUCCUGCUCUUAGAAUUGGGUAGUGUUCUUUUCCAAGAAGACAUGGCACUAAGGUGAUCAUAUGAACAGACUGACAGACUGCAGUCUAAAUACCCAUGCCCCAGGGCCAGCGCUGACCUUGCUUGUCACCUAUGACAUGGCGCUGUGUAGGGAUUAAAGAGAGAGAUUCAGGUCCCUCCUGCUGGACAUCCCACUGGCCUCCCAGACUCUCCCAGCACCUGCAGUGGCACAGCAGCUCAAUAAACCCAUGUGCACUGAG